Molecule: ribosomal RNA, 303 nt
Filed under: uncultured bacterium
Lineage: Bacteria
Description: partial 16S ribosomal RNA
Rfam family: Bacterial small subunit ribosomal RNA
Source: RNAcentral
AGCAGUCGCCACGGUAAUACGUAGGUGGCAAGCGUUGUCCGGAAUUAUUGGGCGUAAAGGGCUCGCAGGCGGUUUCUUAAGUCUGAUGUGAAAGCCCCCGGCUCAACCGGGGAGGGUCAUUGGAAACUGGGAAACUUGAGUGCAGAAGAGGAGAGUGGAAUUCCACGUGUAGCGGUGAAAUGCGUAGAGAUGUGGAGGAACACCAGUGGCGAAGGCGACUCUCUGGUCUGUAACUGACGCUGAGGAGCGAAAGCGUGGGGAGCGAACAGGAUUAGAUACCCCUGUAGUCCCUGUCUCUUAUAA